This 150-nucleotide non-coding RNA is filed under the name pig gut metagenome. The record is from RNAcentral.
GAACUUAGAAGUACUUGAUGUUCUGUGAGUUACCAGCAAUGUUUGAACACGAUGUUCAAACAAGCCGCCACUGAGCCACGGAUGGCGAAUUGGCGGCGGUUGCGUUCGGUAUUGUAUUUUGAAUCAGAACAUUUAGUACUUCUUAGUUUC